RNAcentral lists this ribosomal RNA (467 nucleotides) under uncultured bacterium. Its description in RNAcentral is "partial 16S ribosomal RNA". It matches the Rfam family "Bacterial small subunit ribosomal RNA", at positions 28 to 506 of the family's 1533-position model. The record is from RNAcentral.
GACGAACGCUGGCGGCGUGCUUAACACAUGCAAGUCGAACGGAAAGGCCCUGCUUUUGUGGGGUGCUCGAGUGGCGAACGGGUGAGUAACACGUGAGUAACCUGCCCUUGACUUUGGGAUAACUUCAGGAAACUGGGGCUAAUACCGGAUAGGAGCUCCUGCUGCAUGGUGGGGGUUGGAAAGUUUCGGCGGUUGGGGAUGGACUCGCGGCUUAUCAGCUUGUUGGUGGGGUAGUGGCUUACCAAGGCUUUGACGGGUAGCCGGCCUGAGAGGGUGACCGGCCCAAUGGGGCAUGAGAAACGGCCCAGACCCCUGGGGGGGGCAGGGGGGGGGAAAUUUGCACAAGGGGGGGAAGCCGGAUGCAGAAACGCCGGGUGGGGGAUGAGGGCCUUCGGGUUGUAAACCGUUUUCCCCUGGGACGAAGGGGGGGGGAGGGAAAUGGGUAAAGAAGCCCCGGCUAACUACGG